Molecule: ribosomal RNA, 253 nt
Filed under: uncultured bacterium
Lineage: Bacteria
Description: partial 16S ribosomal RNA
Rfam family: Bacterial small subunit ribosomal RNA
Source: RNAcentral
GACGGAGGGGGCUAGCGUUGUUCGGAAUGACUGGGCGUAAAGGGCGCGUAGGCGGUUUUGUAAGUGAGGCGUGAAAGCCCUGGGCUUAACCCAGGAGGUGCGUUUCAUACUGGAAGACUUGAGUGCGAGAGAGGAAAGUGGAAUUCCUAGUGUAGAGGUGAAAUUCGUAGAUAUUAGGAAGAACACCAGUGGCGAAGGCGGCUUUCUGGCUCGCAACUGACGCUGAGGCGCGAAAGCGUGGGGAGCAAACAGG